UACGUAGGGUGCGAGCGUUAAUCGGAAUUACUGGGCGUAAAGCGUGCGCAGGCGGUUUUGAAAGUCAGAUGUGAAAUCCCCGAGCUCAACUUGGGAACUGCGUUUGAAACUCCAAGACUCGAAUAUGUCAGAGGGGGGUAGAAUUCCACGUGUAGCAGUGAAAUGCGUAGAGAUGUGGAGGAAUACCAAUGGCGAAGGCAGCCCCCUGGGAUAAUAUUGACGCUCAUGCACGAAAGCGUGGGGAG
Molecule: ribosomal RNA, 245 nt
Filed under: uncultured Methylophilus sp.
Lineage: Bacteria; Pseudomonadati; Pseudomonadota; Betaproteobacteria; Nitrosomonadales; Methylophilaceae
Description: partial 16S ribosomal RNA
Rfam family: Bacterial small subunit ribosomal RNA
Source: RNAcentral